Molecule: ribosomal RNA, 468 nt
Filed under: uncultured bacterium
Lineage: Bacteria
Description: partial 16S ribosomal RNA
Rfam family: Bacterial small subunit ribosomal RNA
Source: RNAcentral
GACGAACGCUGGCGGCGUGCUUAACACAUGCAAGUCGAACGGAAAGGCCCUGCUUUUGUGGGGUGCUCGAUUGGCGAACGGGUGAGUAACACGUGAGUAACCUGCCCUUGACUUUGGGAUAACUUCAGGAAACUGGGGCUAUUACCGGAUAGGAGCUCCUGCUGCAUGGUGGGGGUUGGAAAGUUUCGGCGGUUGGGGAUGGACUCGCGGCUUAUCAGCUUGUUGGUGGGGUAGUGGCUUACCAAGGCUUUGACGGGUAGCCGGCCUGAGAGGGUGACCGGCCACAUUGGGACUGAGAUACGGCCCAGACGCCUACGGGAGGCAGCAGUGGGGAAUAUUGCACAAUGAGCGGAAGCCUGAGGCAGCAACGCCGCGUGCGGGAUGACGGCCUACGGGUUGUAAACCGCUUUCGACUGUGACGAAGCGGGAGUGACGGUAAUGGGUAAAGAAGCACCGGCUAACUACGUG